Molecule: ribosomal RNA, 195 nt
Organism: Papilio xuthus (Asian swallowtail)
Lineage: Eukaryota; Metazoa; Arthropoda; Insecta; Lepidoptera; Papilionidae
Rfam family: Archaeal large subunit ribosomal RNA
Source: Rfam
UAAAGGAAUUCGGCAAAAUAUUAUAUUCACUUGUUUAUCAAAAACAUGUCUUUUUGUUAAUAAUUUAAAGUCUAAUCUGCCCACUGAUAAAGUAUUAAAGGGCUGCAGUAUUUUGACUGUACAAAGGUAGCAUAAUCAUUAGUCUCUUAAUUGGUGACUUGUAUGAAAGAUUGGAUGAAAUAUAUACUGUCUCUA